AUUGAACGCUGGCGGCAUGCCUUACACAUGCAAGUCGAACGGCAGCACGGGUGCUUGCACCUGGUGGCGAGUGGCGAACGGGUGAGUAAUACAUCGGAACGUACCUUAUCGUGGGGGAUAACGCAGCGAAAGCUGUGCUAAUACCGCAUACGCCCUGAGGGGGAAAGCGGGGGAUCGCAAGACCUCGCGCGAUUAGAGCGGCCGAUGCCUGAUUAGCUAGUUGGUGGGGUAAAAGCCCACCAAGGCGACGAUCAGUAGCUGGUCUGAGAGGACGAUCAGCCACACUGGGACUGAGACACGGCCCAGACUCCUACGGGAGGCAGCAGUGGGGAAUUUUGGACAAUGGGGGCAACCCUGAUCCAGCAAUGCCGCGUGAGUGAAGAAGGCCUUCGGGUUGUAAAGCUCUUUUGUCAGGGAAGAAACACCGGCUCUAACACAGUCCGGGAAUGACGGUACCUGAAGAAUAAGCACCGGUUAACUACGUGCCAGCAGCCGCGGUAA
This 501-nucleotide ribosomal RNA is filed under the name uncultured bacterium. RNAcentral describes it as "partial 16S ribosomal RNA". It matches the Rfam family "Bacterial small subunit ribosomal RNA", at positions 29 to 523 of the family's 1533-position model. The record is from RNAcentral.